Molecule: ribosomal RNA, 497 nt
Filed under: uncultured bacterium
Lineage: Bacteria
Description: partial 16S ribosomal RNA
Rfam family: Bacterial small subunit ribosomal RNA
Source: RNAcentral
GAUGAACGCUGGCGGCGUGCCUAAUACAUGCAAGUCGAGCGAACGGACGAGGAGCUUGCUUCUCUGAUGUUUGCGGCGGACGGGUGAGUAACACGUGGAUAACCUACCUAUAAGACUGGGAUAACUUCGGGAAACCGUAGCUAAUACCGGAUAAUAUUUUGAACCGCAUGGUUCAAAAGUGAAAGACGUUCUUGCUGUCACUUAUAGAUGGAUCCUCGCUGCAUUAGCUAGUUGGUAAGGUAACGGCUUACCAAGGCAACGAUGCAUAGCCGACCUGAGAGGGUGAUCGGCCACACUGGAACUGAGACACGGUCCAGACUCCUACGGGAGGCAGCAGUAGGGAAUCUUCCGCAAUGGGCGAAAGCCUGACGGAGCAACGCCGCGUGAGUGAUGAAGGUCUUCGGAUCGUAAAACUCUGUUAUUAGGGAAGAACAUAUGUGUAAGUAACUGUGCACAUCUUGACGGUACCUAAUCAGAAAGCCACGGCUAACUACGUG